Bufo gargarizans (Asiatic toad) is the source of this 2257-nucleotide RNA transcript. RefSeq lists it as uncharacterized. The transcript is spliced from 2 exons. The record is from RefSeq and is a predicted model, not a curated record. Lineage: Eukaryota; Metazoa; Chordata; Amphibia; Anura; Bufonidae.
AGAGGUAGCCAUUGUUAAAGUGCCAGCCCAUGUGAAGCAAGAUGAUCCGCUGGCUGUGGGAAAUGCUCAAGCAGACCAAGCAGCCAAACAAGCAGCCGGUCUGCCGCUCCUGACAUUGUUUUUUCCAACUAUGCCAGAUUUGUCGCUCUUGCAGGAAUUACAGGCCCAGAUAACGCCUCAAGACAAAAAGGUAUGGAUGGAGGCGGGGGCUACGAAGACAGAAGAGCUCUGGCAGGUAAAUGGCAGAACAUGUUUGCCUCGGAGUUUGUAUCCGAUGAUGGCCAAUUUAGCACAUGGCCCUACUCAUUUGUCGAAAGGAGCUAUGAGCGCACUAGUGUUAGAACAUUGGUUUGCACCUGGAAUUCAGACCCUCUUUGAAAAGUUUGUUCAGGGUUGUCUUACAUGUGCCAGACAUAACCCUGGGAGGUUUGUAAAGACCCCCAAGAAACACACUCCCAAACCCUUGUACCCGUUUCAAAGAGUGCAGGUGGAUUACAUCCAGCUACCCAAGAUCCUAAUUCUCUUGAAGGUACACAUUCUCUAGUUCCUGGAGAUUGGGUAGUCCUGAAGAGGCAUGUAAGAAAGACCCUGGAGCCAAGGUUUGACGGUCCAUAUCAGGUGCAACUGACCACACCCACCGCCGUCAAGCUGAACGGGAGACCAGUCUGGGUCCAUGCAAGUCACUGCAAAAAGGUUCUGAAGACAGACAGUCACGAACAGGAAAGCAGCCCUACAGUUGUGAAAGGAGGAAAACAUACAAAUUCCAUUUGGCAACUACAUCAACAGACUGCCAAGCAGCUGAAUACUACUGACUGUUGGAUAUGCUCUCAUAUCCCUGCCAACUACAAGGGAAUCCCUCUGAUAGGUGUUCCAAUCUCUAUGAAUGAUUUGAAUCUCACAGACUAUAGCUAUGAUGUUCAAAUAGAUGUAGAUCACACCUCACAUAAUGCUGUUUCUGAUCAAGGGAUAUACUUAGAGAUUACUGGUAUAAUCUCUCCGCCCACUAUAUGUUUGGGGCCUAUGUUUGUGAACCAUAUAGCUAAGAUAAAGGGCCGUUUUGUCAGUUUACCACAGAUAUAUGUGGGGGAAACAGAUUGUAGAAAUGCUACUCUGAUAUUCAAUAUGGAAUUUAGGAAGACUUCAUGUGACAUAGUUAAUACUAACUGUAAUAGUUUGUGUUUCUGUCCAACUAUGAAAGUUUCUUGUGCCCCAGGUGUGCCUGUCCAGAAAAGAAGGACAAGGACAAAUGGACUUGUAAGACGAAAUUGUAUGAUAAUAUGAUAUGGUUUCAGGGAUGGCUGGGACAUCACGGCAGGAUGAUUCCCAAAGUCCUGAAACAAGGACUAUAUUACAUUUGUGGUAACAGAGCCUACUCAUGGCUCCCUAUGGGGGCAUGGGGCAACUGUACCAUAGGAAGAGUUGUCCCAGCCAUCAGACGACGCACAAACAUUUCACUUACUGAUGCCCCUGAAACUCUUCUUGGGAUGACUAGAAACAAACGAGAGUUAUUCACAUCAGCAGAUAAAGCCUGGAUGUGGUUCCCUUCUUGGACAGGUUGGGGAAUUGAGUUAGCAAAUAAAUUAAACAAAUAUGCAAAUAUCAUGGAUGGAAUUAUUAAUGAGACCACAAGUUCAAUCCAUGCCCUUAAUGAGGAACUGGCACAAGUCAGGAAAGUGGCUCUCCAAAAUAGGAUGGCCUUAGACUACCUCCUAGCUAUAGAGGGUGGGACUUGUGCUAUCAUAGGAGAAGAAUGCUGCACCUGGGUUGAAGAUUCACAUGAUCCCAUAGAGGCCCACAUGAAUAAGGUAAAGGAAUUGCAACAAAAAGCUAGAGACAUAGCUAAAGAAGGAUGGAACCCCUUCUCUUGGAUGGGGUCUAUAGGUGUCUGGUUCAACAAUAUGAUCUCUGAUUUACUGAAGCCCAUAGUGGUAGUGAUAGGCCUGGUUUUGAUACUGCUAAUUGCUUGGAAAUUACUAAUGUUGUGUAUUUCUCAUUGCAGUAGGGGAAAUUCCCUCCCUUGAAAAUAGAUGACACAACAGCCCUGGAGAUGACAGUCUGAAGCUCCUGUGCUGCGAUGUAUCCCUAGUUGCUGUUGUCAUCCACUUAGAUAGUGUGUUUGUGUGUAGUAUGUGGUUUUAAUAAAAUGUAUGCUUAAUCAAAUGACAACUACUAGACAGGCUGGAAUCGAUGCUUGCAUCGCAUGGUCUAUGCAGCUUAUCUGUAUACUCUGUGAAGUACGGGCUGUCUAAGGGGUCAU